This 176-nucleotide ribosomal RNA is filed under the name uncultured bacterium. Its description in RNAcentral is "partial 16S ribosomal RNA". It matches the Rfam family "Bacterial small subunit ribosomal RNA", at positions 1312 to 1500 of the family's 1533-position model. The record is from RNAcentral.
UCGCCUACAUGAAGCUGGAAUUGCUAGUAAUCACAGGUCAGCAUACUGUGGUGAACUACGUUCCCGGGCCUUGUACACACCGCCCGUCACACCAUGAGAGUUGAGAAUACCCGAAGCCCAUGUCAAAGUGGUCGAAGGUAGGCUUGAUGAUUGGGGUGAAGUCGUAACAAGGUAAC